GAUGAAGAACGUAGCGAAAUGCGAUAAGUAAUGUGAAUUGCAGAAUUCAGUGAAUCAUCGAAUCUUUGAACGCACAUUGCGCCCGCCAGCAUUCUGGCGGGCAUGCCUGUUCGAGCGUCAUUUCAACCCUCAAGCUCUGCUUGGUGUUGGGGCCCUACGGUUGACGUAGGCCCUUAAAGAUAGUGGCGGACCCUCUCGGAGCCUCCUUUGCGUAGUAACUAACGUCUCGCAUUGGGAUUCGGAGGGACUCUUGCCGUAAAACCCCCAAAUUUUCUAAUGGUUGACCUCGGAUCAGGUAGGAAUACCCGCUGAACUUAAGCAUAUCAAUAAGCGGAGGA
RNAcentral lists this unclassified non-coding RNA (338 nucleotides) under soil metagenome. RNAcentral's name for it is "partial contains 5.8S ribosomal RNA, internal transcribed spacer 2, and large subunit ribosomal RNA". The stretch from base 1 to 120 matches the Rfam family "5.8S ribosomal RNA", at positions 35 to 154 of the family's 154-position model. The record is from RNAcentral.